AUUGAACGCUGGCGGCAUGCGUAACACAUGCAAGUCGAACGGUGUUUGGUGCUUGCACCAGACAUAGUGGCGGACGGGUGAGUAAUGCGUAGGAAUCUGUCUUAGAGAGGGGGACAACCCGAGGAAACUUGGGCUAAAACCGCAUAUUCUCGAGAGAGGAAAGCAGGGGACCGGAAACGGCCUUGUGCUCUAAGGUGAGCCUACGUCGGAUUAGCUAGUUGGUAGGGUAAAAGCCUACCAAGGCGAUGAUCUGUAGCUGGUCUGAGAGGACGGACAGCCACACUGGGACUGAGACACGGCCCAGACUCCUACGGGAGGCAGCAGUGGGGAAUAUUGGACAAUGGGGGAACCCUGAUCCAGCGAUGCCGCGUGUGUGAAGAAGGCCUGCGGGUUGUAAAGCACUUUCAGUGGGAAAGAGAAGCGUCUUGUGAAUAAUGGGACGUGGAGACGUUACCACACGAAGAAAGACGACCGCCGUAACUAACUUCGUGUCCGACGACG
Molecule: ribosomal RNA, 501 nt
Filed under: uncultured bacterium
Lineage: Bacteria
Description: bacterial SSU rRNA
Rfam family: Bacterial small subunit ribosomal RNA
Source: RNAcentral